UGGUGGAAGUCACAGGCCUGCCCAAGCUGGAGGACUGUCCCAUUCCAACAAGUGAAGGAGCUCUGCAGGGCCAUCUUGGAGCCUGGGGAUGUUCCUGGAGAGCACACAGACACACAACCAUGGUUCUACCACUGGAGUGACUUAUUGAGAAGAUAUUAGAAAGAUGCAGCACUUUCUGUUCUGGAAUGCAAAGAACACCAUCAUGCAAGCCUGGGCCUCAGAUCUGGACUUGGAUCCUCCUGCCUGGCUGUAUGAGGCUGACCAUGUCCCUUCUCUGUGUGGCCCCUGUCCCAUCCUCUAUCAAAGGAGGGAUUUCUAUUAGAUUGCUAAGGAAUGGAGGGCUUUGCCUGGGGACCACCUCACAAGGCCUGGCUGGUGCCUCCUGCUACUCAGUUCUUGGCUGAUGUCAGAUGGGGAGACUCUGGCCCCUGUGGAGAUGAGCAGGACCGUUAGUAAUAUGCUCAUUUGAUUAAUCAGAAGACUGAGGAUGUGAGAGCCUACACAAUGCACAGAGAAAUGAUUUUUAGACAACAAAGAACUACAGAAGGACUUGCUCAGUGCUGCCAACUCCAUUCAGGAUGAUGGCUGCCCACUCAUACCUGCAAUGGGUCAUGGACUGGGAAGCUGAUGAAACUGCAACUGGCAUGGGCUGCUGGGAGCCACCAUACAUGGAGGAGAGUGAUGGCUGAUUCACAGUUUAUUGUGAUCCCGGCAUGACACAAUGCAGAAGAGUUUGGAUUUACUGGCUCAGGGGUAAACUGUAGAUUAUUCACUGCGUCCAUUUCACUGGCUGAACCAGGAAGCAAUUCCUGGGUCCAUCUGUCAGAAUCUCUGAACUGGGAGGAGGAGAAGAAUGAAGCACGGACAGCUGACCAGCCAGGCAGUCCCCAGAGCUGCCAUGCACUCUGCAGCACGCUUCCUGGGUCUUCAUUCCAAUCAGUGGGACAGUUUCACGCAUAAAUCCUUACCCGAUGGUCAGAUGUGGUCUCCAUCUGCUUUCCUGACCUCACUUGUCUUCUUUAAAGAGCAGCGACUCAGAAUAAGACCAGUCCUCUGCUCAGAGUUCCUGCAUCCUGGGGGCCACUUCUGAACCAGACCAUGCCCACUCCAGCCACCACAGAUCGAGCCACGGGCAACCAAUUACUAGACUGGCCACACCUGU
This 1162-nucleotide long non-coding RNA is filed under the name Homo sapiens (human). Its description in RNAcentral is "HSALNT0029438". Lineage: Eukaryota; Metazoa; Chordata; Mammalia; Primates; Hominidae. The record is from RNAcentral.